Molecule: long non-coding RNA, 600 nt
Filed under: Zea mays
Lineage: Eukaryota; Viridiplantae; Streptophyta; Magnoliopsida; Poales; Poaceae
Description: drought responsive lncRNA
Source: RNAcentral
AAUUUAUAGUAAUGCACGAGCAUAUGACUAGUAUGUAUUUAAUUUGUAGUUUACAGUAUAAAAAGGUAUUUGGAGAAAGAGAAAGAACACCAUAGAUGUAAGGUAAGAGGAUAUAUCCAUAAUUUAAAGUAUUUUUAGAGGUAACUGCUAUGGUUUUAUGGUGCUUGUAAAGCUUUUAGAAAGUUGCAGCCGACGAGGAAGACCACGGCACAUGUGCGCUCGUUUGGGAGCGGCAGGCAAUAGGCGGUGGCGCAACACCGGCACUAGGGGGAGGGCAUAGACGGGCAACGCGUUGCGUAUGAGACGAUUGGGUGAUAGUGCACCGCGCUGAGGUGCGGUGCGGCGGGACGGGACGCCACCAGACAGAAACAGCACGGCAGCCGCUAGAUGGCGGGCUUGGCGGCGCUAGGGUGAGGGCGAGAACAGGCGGCGCUGGGAGGAAGAGGAAUUGAUGUGAGUGGUGUCAGCAAAUACUCCAGCCGCAGGACACGGCAUCUCAGCCCAUGAGCCGAAACGCACCGAUCGGGCUCGUAGUCCAAGCAUAGAAACCUCCUACCCAGAAUGGGCUAGAUUCACCCUAGAAGACCGGCUCAUCUCCAG